RNAcentral lists this ribosomal RNA (506 nucleotides) under uncultured bacterium. RNAcentral's name for it is "partial 16S ribosomal RNA". It matches the Rfam family "Bacterial small subunit ribosomal RNA", at positions 28 to 523 of the family's 1533-position model. The record is from RNAcentral.
GAUGAACGCUAGCUACAGGCUUAACACAUGCAAGUCGAGGGGUAACGAGAGGAAAGCUUGCUUUCCUUGUCGACGACCGGCGCACGGGUGAGUAACGCGUAUCCAACCUGCCCCCAACUAGGGAAUAACCUUGCGAAAGUAAGACUAAUACCCUAUAAUUUCCUCAGAUGACAUCUGACGAGGAAUAAAGAUUUAUCGGUUGUGGAUGGGGAUGCGUCUGAUUAGCUUGUUGGCGGGGUAACGGCCCACCAAGGCAACGAUCAGUAGGGGUUCUGAUAGGAAAGGCCCCCACAUUGGAACUGAGACACGGUCCAAACUCCUACGGGAGGCAGCAGUGAGGAAUAUUGGUCAAUGGGCGGAAGCCUGAACCAGCCAAGUAGCGUGCAGGAUGACGGCCCUAUGGGUUGUAAACUGCUUUUAUACAGGAAUAAAGUUAGCCACGUGUGGUUAUUUGUAGGUACUGUAUGAAUAAGGACCGGCUAAUUCCGUGCCAGCCGCCGCCGUAA